This 321-nucleotide ribosomal RNA is filed under the name uncultured eukaryote. Its description in RNAcentral is "partial 18S ribosomal RNA". It matches the Rfam family "Eukaryotic small subunit ribosomal RNA", at positions 1470 to 1796 of the family's 1831-position model. The record is from RNAcentral.
CCCUUAGAUGUUCUGGGCCGCACGCGCGCUACACUGACAUGUUCAACAAGCCUCCUAGUUCGACAGGAUUUGGGAAAUCUUCGAACGCAUGUCGUGAUAGGGAUAGAUCAUUGCAAUUAUUGAUCUUGAACGAGGAAUUCCUAGUAAACGCGAGUCAUCAGCUCGCAUUGAUUACGUCCCUGCCCUUUGUACACACCGCCCGUCGCACCUACCGAUUGAAUGUUUCGGUGAAGAUUCCGGAUAGGACUUUUUUGAUUUAUUUCAAUUUUGUCUUAAAAGCUAUCUAAACCUCAACAUUUAGAGGAAGGUGAAGUCGUAACA